Long non-coding RNA from Heterocephalus glaber (naked mole-rat), 1414 nucleotides. Lineage: Eukaryota; Metazoa; Chordata; Mammalia; Rodentia; Bathyergidae. The record is from Ensembl.
CAAGAGUGCAUCUUCUCUCAGCAAUUGCUAUUGAGAGACCUUGAAUCUUACAACACUUCAGAGAAUCUCAUCAAGGCUAUCAGAUUACACAAUUGCAGUGUAUUAUUGUCAUCAAAAAUGUUCUUAAAACCUUGUCUUUUUAUAUGAGGAAUUAUGGGAAGUAUUCUCCAGACUGAUUUUAACUUCUCAUAAACUAGCACUGGAAAAUCACCAUGACAAAGCUUCUAAUCUGCUCCUCAAAUCUGUCCUGACAGAUCCAGCAAGUGAAAGGACUAAGUGUUCGGAGGACUGCAAAGUGCAUCAAGAAAACAUCCCUCACCAGAUGUCAGUGCCUUCAUCUUGAACUUCAGCCUCCAGAGCUGUGAGAAAUCUGUGCUGGUUUUAAGCCAUUUGGCCAUGAAGCACGUUCUUAAAUUACCUGCACAUAAACAAGGAAGAAAUCCAGCCAGGAAGUGAUAGCCCAAGGCAUGGAGGAAGCCAAGUCAGCUAGAGCUGGUGCAGCUGCCCACCUUACAGCUUGCAGACUCUGUGCUGACCCAUGCCUGUGUAUGCGGCUUUGGCCUAUUCAUCCUCUCCUUAGGACUCCCUGGCCAUGCAUAUCAGCAACUGCAAUUACACUCCUGGUCUGGCCGCUCUGCACAUUCCCUGCCUGGGUGCCAACGCUGGGCCUAGUCAAGCAGGGAGGAGAUGAAAGGAGGUCAUGUGUGGGCACGCAUGCCCAGUCUAUGCCAUAGAUGUUUGCCCUGCCUGCUGGAAACAGGCCUUUCCAGUGCAGCCUGCAGUAAAUAAGCCUCCAGCUCCACUGGGCACUGUGAUUCCCUCUCCUCCCACUGCCAUUGGCAAAAACCAACAGAGUUUUAAAAAAUGGACAUUUCUCUCCUUUCUGAAAAAACACUGCGCUGGUUUAAAUAAUUCAAAAGAAAAGACAUUCCUUCCUCUUUUUCUCCAAAAGCCCACAUGUUCCCUAAAAUCAGAGGCUUAGCUCUUAAGGUCAGUUGGUAAAAUAAAGCGGGGGGGGGGGGGCGCAGUGACAGUUAAUGUGAGCCCACAUGACGUAGGCUGUGUGACAAGACAGCAUGGUGGCAGGCCACAUGCCAAGGCAACAUGGCAGUGCUCCAGAACAAAACAGAAAAACCAGAGAGAAAGCCAUUUACAAACUGGGGUGGGUGGAGACCAGGCUAAUUUCCAAGAAGGGUAACAAAUGUGCAGACAACAAGGCAUACUAAGCUCUAAGUCAUGCACAUCGUGCAGCAAGCUCUCUGGAUACUUAGCUUGUACUGGCAAAGUGAGCACAGCAGAAAAAAAGUCUCUUGUAGCUGGAAGAAAAACAAAGGCCAUAUAUUCCUUCUCCAUCCCCCAUGUGGUGGGAAAAGCAGCAAAUAGUUCUCUGCACAUCAUGAGAAGAGUCCCCUGA